GACGGGAGCUGGGGAAGAGGGGAGAGGGGGAGUAGAGUCUGGAGGAGUGAAGGAGAUGGAGGCAGGGGAUGAGACUCUACUAGACACUACUCCACUGGCUCCACUCCAGAUCACCUGCCUAGAGAAGCAGGUGGUGAUGCUGCAGGCUGAACUGCACUCUCUCUCUGAGGAGAACCAGAGGCAGGCUGAGGAGCUGACAGUGUGGAGGCUAAUGGCCCAGCCCCUCUGUCUAGACCCAGAGGACCUCACCUCUGCUACCCUCAGCCCUGGCCACACCACUGCUACCCUCAGCCCUGGCCACACCACUGCUACCCUCAGCCCUGGCCACACCACUGCUACCCUCAGCCCUGGACACAACACUGCAGCCCUGGCCACAACACUGCUACCCUCAGCCCUGGCCACAACACUGCUACCCUCAGCCCUGGACACAACACUGCUACCCUCAGCCCUGGCCACAACACUGCUACCCUCAGCCCUGGCCACAACACUGCUACCCUCAGCCCUGGCCACAACACUGCUACCCUCAGCCCUGGCCACAACACUGCUACCCUCAGCCCUGGCCACAACACUGCUACCCUCAGCCCUGGACACAACACUGCUACCCUCAGCCCUGGCCACAACACUGCUACCCUCAGCCCUGGCCAACACAGCAGUGUGAUGGUGAUCAGAGAGGAUGAGCUGCUUCUCUCCUGUACCUCCAGUAGACUGUAUGGGAGGACCCUGGCCUCAAGACUGCAUCACUGCAAUUCUCCUGAAGCAAAGAGUCUCCAAAACCCAUCCAGAAAGAACAAAUCUACACAUCCCCAAGAGACGGAAAAACAGACCAAUGAACAUGGGGAAGAUGGUGAAGAAGCAGACAUCACCAAAGAUGUUUACCAAAUCUCAGAGCUCCAGACCAAGGCAACAGAGCACACUAACCAAGAUGAUUCAGAAAACAAGACCAAUCCAAACACUCCCAGAGCAACAGAUCAGCACAAUCUAGACGUCAUAGAACUAGAUAACAAAGAGUUCCCCACUCUGUCUCUCGCUGAGGCUCAAUCCACUGAAGCACAGUUCUCUGAAACCAACCAUUCCAGUCACCAUCAAGAGGUACCAAUCUCCACUGGUGUUGAGAAUAAAAGUCACUCCUCGGUCCGUAGAACAGUCACCACUACAUCAGAGUGGCGAACUGAGAGAACGAUGGUGGAGACCAAGGUUCUGAGUUCAAAGGUCAUACCAGCAGGAUGGACAGGUCAAGAGAGAUUGAGCUCUGUAGAGGUGAGUAGUACCAGCUCUCAGACAGAGGGGAGAGAAACAGGCGCCCUACCAGAAACACACCACGUAUACACACAGACGGAGGAGGAGAAUGAUGAAGAACCCACAGAAUCACCCCCUGUGUCACCAGUCCAGAUGUCUGAGGCCAAGGGGGACAGGAUGUUGUUUUCUGGGUCCUUCCCGAUCCCUGCCGACCCAGCCCGUCUUGCGGAGCGGAUCCGUCGUAACCGGACUCAGAUGUCUGCAGCGUACGAUGAUACGGAAUACGAACCCUACGGCCUGCCUGAGGUGGUCAUGAAAGCCUGUCAAAUCAUCAACCACUCUAACCAAACCAACUCUCCAUCAGACCUUACAGACACCGAAACAGACAACAGAUAUGAGCUUAACCUGUGGGAUGGUAUCAAACUAUGUCUAAUUGAAAUGCAUUCCAGGUGACUACCUCAUGAAGCUGGUUGAGAGAAUGCAAAGGGUGUGCAAAGCUGUCAUCAAGGCAAAGGAUGGCUAGUUUGAAGAAUCUCAAAUCUCCAAUUUUUGGUUACUACAUGAUUACAUUUGUGUUAUUUAAUUGUUUAGAUGUCUUCACUAUUAUUCUACAAUGUAGAAAAUAGUCAAAAUAAAGAAAAACCUUUGAUUGAGUAGGUGUUAACUUUUGACUGGUUCUGUAUGUCUUCCUCCUAGCACCCCUAGUAAACAUACAACCUCCCACUAGCAUUAUAUAAACAGUACUAAAUGUUCACAUUGCUCCUUCUCCCAUCUUCUCCAGGUUUUGCUGACAUUCCCAGUGGUCUAGGCUGUCCGUACAUUGUGAGGAGGGGGCUCCUGGGUACUGCUGCUAUGCCCCGCCCCCAGAGAGAUCCCGGCCAGGGGGAGGGGGGGCAGGAGGACCCUGAUUAACCCCCAACAGGUGAAGCGUUUAGCCCCUUAGAACCCAAUAUCUGCACCGGUCACACAAAUAACAGCUGCAUCAUCACACAGUUUACGUUCAGCACGUAUUUCACAAUUAUCACACGGUUUGUGUAGUCGUAAUGUAAACCACUAUGUGAUCGUGAUAGAUUAUACAAAGUCUGUAGUUGCAUAAUGUUGUCUUUAGAAAGGACGUUUCAUGUGGAGAUGACAUUAACUAGUUCCACAUAUGACUGACUUAAUCGUCUGGUCCUCCUUGGGAGAGUAGGGCGUCCCCCAUGGCAAUCCACCUCUCUCUCUCCUGUGUGGGUUCACAAGUUCCACAUAUGGUUGAGUGUAUUUGUUUAUGCCGUGUGUCAGAGUGUUUGUACAGAUCCACUGGAAGACCGUCAGAGGAGUUAAUUUCACUGGACCUGCUGUGUACUGACCCCCACCUCCUGCCCUGAUGUACUGACCCGAAUAAAACCUGUUUCAUCUCUUGUGUACUGAAACACCUGAAGAGGGACAUCUGUCCCCUGCUGACGUUUAAGACAAGACCUUUCAUUGAGUUAUACAGAGGUCCAUUGGUUUCUAUGCACCUACUACAGUACUGUUCUUUACAAAUCUACUGGUUCAGAUUUCCUUGUUGUGGUUCAAAUGAGAAAUGGUGCCUUGUUUUUAUUUAAUUUGUAUAAGCUACUUUAGGCCAUGGUCCAUUGCCUGUUGUGAAAACUUGAAUUUUCAUUUGAAUAGUCUUAUUUAUAGACUGUUGAAUGUUUUAGUGUGUGUGUUCAUGUUGGUUUUUAUAAGCAGUGGGUGUACAUUUGAGGGAGCGUGUGUCGGUUUGUACAAAACUGUCCACGGAUGAGUACGUACUGCAUGUGUAGGAUGAUGUCUGGUCGUUAUGUUUUCUCAAUAUUAGCCUGUGCCUGUGUAUGACUCAACCUAACCUGAGCGUGUUUCCUCUCCUUGUAUGGUGAUCCACUGGGAGCGCUCCUUCUCUUCCCCUCCCUCGUCCCCUCUUUCUGUUCUUUCCCUAUUCAUUUCUCUCUUUCUUUACACUCAAACCUUUUUCAAAAUGACACCCUCUGUGCUCUUGAAUUUACACAAGUGCUAAACACAUGAGUGAGGUAGUUUAUUUUUAUUUUUUUAGAUACACUAUUUAAAUUGUGCAGGUUUUAGUCUGCUUUUUUGGACUAUUUUAGUUUUUCCUAGAUUUAAUAUAUUACAUUUUUGGGGGGAUAGAUUUUUCGUGCACGUUAGUGAUUGUGCCAUAGUUUUCUAGAUUUUCAGUUGCAUCUAUAAACUGCCCUGGUUUGAAACAAUAUUCACUUAAGAGAUUGUAUAUCAAAUGAAUUUAUAGCAUCUUAAAUGUAAUCUUGGUACUGCCACCAAGAUUGUGCUUUGAGGAAGUGUGUGCGCUUGUAUACAAAACAUUAAGAACUCUUUCCAUGACAGACUGACCAGGUGACUACAGGUGAAAGCUAUGAUCCAUUAUUGAUGUCUCUUGUUAUAUCCACUUCAAUCAGCGUAGACGAAGGGGAGGAGAAGGUUGAAGAAGGAUUUCUGGUAGAGCAUGGCACUUGCAACGCCAGGUUUGUGGGUUCGAUUCCCACGUGGGACCAGUACAAACGAAAUAUGAAAAUGUAUGCACUCACCACUACAUGUCGCUCUGGAUAAAAGCAUCUGCUAAAUGACUCAAAUGUAAACGUGUGUGUGUGUGUGUGUGUGUGUGCCAUUCAGAGGGUGAAUGGGCAAGAUAACAUAUUUAAGUGCCUUUGAACAGGGUAUGGUAAUAGGUGCCAGACUCACCGGUUUGUGUCAAGAACUGCGACACUGCUGGGUUUUUCACACUCAACAGUUUUUCCGUGUGUAUCAAGAAUGGUCCACCACCCAAAGGACAUCCAGACAACUUGACACAACUGUGGGAAGCAACUGCCCCAAUGAAGUGAGGCUGUUCUGAGGUCAAAGGGGAGUGCAACUCAAUAUUAGGAAGGGUUCUUAAUGUUUUGUACACUGUGUUUUGUUAACGAAACCUUCCUCCAUUCCAAAUCUGCUCCGACCUUCUUUCAGAGCUGAGGUUUAUUACAGCGUUACUGCAUGGUACUAAGAUGAAUGUGAGUUGUUAUUGGUUUUGUUGUGGUCUAAAAAAAUCUCUCAAAACACCUAUUUGUUUUUAACACACAACUAAAUAAGUUAACAGCCAUUGGAUCUGAUAGAAAUGACAGGUUUAAUACAUUGUGGAGUGAUUUUAACUUGAUAUACAUAGUUAGCUACACUUGCUUUCUGUCACUACUGACAUGAUGCAUGUAGCCACUAGCAACAACCAUGUCUUCUCUAGAUUCUAGAAGCCUGGCGUGUGUUCUAGAACACGUAUGGGCUGUUACAGUACCAUUCACUAGCCUUCUGAACACACCCCUAGCUGAGUUAUCUGUGGGAUCUCUGGGUGGUGGGACUAGUCCAAGGAGUCCAGCAGAACACACUGGAUUCUUUCCCCUGUAUGUGACACUUUUAUGUGAAUGUAUCACUGUUGAUGCUUUGUGUCGCUGUUGAAGAAGAUAGAUUAAAAAGGUUGAUCUAAAUUUAUCUUGUCAAUUUCUCUUUCCACCUCCUAAGGUCUGUGUGUCAGUUGUUUGUUUCUGUCUUGUCUAUGCUAGC
Molecule: long non-coding RNA, 4794 nt
Organism: Oncorhynchus tshawytscha (Chinook salmon)
Lineage: Eukaryota; Metazoa; Chordata; Actinopteri; Salmoniformes; Salmonidae
Source: Ensembl